Molecule: ribosomal RNA, 460 nt
Filed under: uncultured bacterium
Lineage: Bacteria
Description: partial 16S ribosomal RNA
Rfam family: Bacterial small subunit ribosomal RNA
Source: RNAcentral
CCUACGGGUGGCAGCAGUGAGGAAUAUUGGUCAAUGGGCGCGAGCCUGAACCAGCCAAGUCGCGUGAAGGAUGACGGCCCUACGGGUUGUAAACUUCUUUUAUAAAGGAAUAAAGUGCGGCACGUGUGCCUUUUUGUAUGUACUUUAUGAAUAAGGAUCGGCUAACUCCGUGCCAGCAGCCGCGGUAAUACGGAGGUUCCGAGCGUUAUCCGGAUUUAUUGGGUUUAACGGGAGCGUAGAUGGGUUGUUAAGUCAGUUGUGAAAGUUUGCGGCUCAACCGUAAAACUGCAAUUGAUACUGGCAGGCUUGAGUGCAGUUGAGGUAGGCGGAAUUCGUGGUGUAGCGGUGAAAUGCUUAGAUAUCACGAAGAACUCCGAUUGCGAAGGCAGCUUACUAAACUGCAACUGACAUUGAUGCUCGAAAGUGUGGGUAUCAAACAGGAUUAGAUACCCUGGUAGUC